This 471-nucleotide ribosomal RNA is filed under the name uncultured Comamonadaceae bacterium. RNAcentral describes it as "bacterial SSU rRNA". It matches the Rfam family "Bacterial small subunit ribosomal RNA", at positions 8 to 474 of the family's 1533-position model. Lineage: Bacteria; Pseudomonadati; Pseudomonadota; Betaproteobacteria; Burkholderiales; Comamonadaceae. The record is from RNAcentral.
AGAGUUUGAUCCUGGCUCAGAUUGAACGCUGGCGGAAUGCUUUACACAUGCAAGUCGAACGGCAGCACGGGGGCAACCCUGGUGGCGAGUGGCGAACGGGUGAGUAAUACAUCGGAACGUGCCCAGUCGUGGGGGAUAACGUAGCGAAAGCUACGCUAAUACCGCAUACGAACUCUGGUUGAAAGCGGGGGAUCGCAAGACCUCGCGCGAUUGGAGCGGCCGAUGGCAGAUUAGGUAGUUGGUGGGGUAAAGGCUCACCAAGCCGCCGAUCUGUAGCUGGUCUGAGAGGACGACCAGCCACACUGGGACUGAGACACGGCCCAGACUCCUACGGGAGGCAGCAGUGGGGAAUUUUGGACAAUGGGCGCAAGCCUGAUCCAGCCAUUCCGCGUGCAGGAUGAAGGCCCUCGGGUUGUAAACUGCUUUUGUACGGAACGAAAAGGCCUGGGUUAAUACCUCGGGCUCAUGACG